Molecule: long non-coding RNA, 4313 nt
Organism: Amphiprion ocellaris (clown anemonefish)
Lineage: Eukaryota; Metazoa; Chordata; Actinopteri; Pomacentridae
Source: Ensembl
GUUUUUUUCAUUUUCUGAGACCGGAAGUGGUCAUCAGCAAAUGCAGAGCCAAACGACAAGAUUCUCAGAGGGCGGAGUCAGAGAGCAGCGAUUGGUCAGACCACAGAGAAUAUAGAAGACAGCGCGCUAGCUUAUCUAGUCUGUGUACCUAUGGUCGGCACGUCUGGUAGCGUCUCUGGCUGCUGUUGACCUUGUUUUUGGAGUAAAACACGGUGGAAGCUGAAUUAGUGAGGAUGACUCCUGCUCCUGUCAUCUCUAAGCUCCUCACACAUCUUUACCUGCACAUGAGGAAAAUCACUCCUGUAGAAUGCAGUGGUUCAUCAUAACCUCUGGGGAUGUCCUGUGGAUUCUGUGGAUCCUGUGGGUUGCAGGGUGGGUCCUACCGAGACCAGGCUGAUCCUGGACCAUCCCACAGAUGCUCAGUCAGAUCUGGAUGUGGGGAGUGUGGAACCCAGAUGUUCAGAGGGAGAUGAUGCCACAUCUGGUCCAGCUGAUGGAAGGUCUUGAAGUUCUCUGACUGGCCUCGACUGAAGACGGUCGUCUCACUGGAUUUAAGGUUCAGAUGCUCAGUAACAAACUCCACCAAUGUGCCAACAGGGAAGCUUUAGGUUUAUUAAAUGUUGCUAUGAAGGUAUCACUGUUUUUCUUUGUGAAUGCAAUGUGCUCCAACUGAAACUUGAAUUAGAACUUAGAAGUAAAUCCUUCCAUCUGAAAGGAUCUAGAUGUAUUAAUAACCUCAUAACAUUCUAAUUUUUAUUCCAGUCUUGGCUGGAAAUAGAAUCUCUGUAUUGAUUCAGGUAAAAACUGAACUUCACAGCAUGUUGGAGCAAAACAACCAGAUGAAAACUGUGAUGGUGUUGGAUUGUCAGACCGUAAUGUUGCAGCUCAAAGCAGCUUUUCUAUCUCAGUUCAUUCUGACAUUCAGCUAUGAAUCAACACAGCAGAUGGUGAUCCAUGCUGUGGAAGUCUCACAUCUCCCGAUUUAAUGGAGCUGCUUUGCACUUUUUACACUGUUUAUUCACCAACACUUUAUUUAAUAAAAGUCCCAUCUAGUUUUUAUGAGGAAUGUGAUGUUUUAAUUUCUCUGUGAAUAACUGCAGUCUAAUGCAACAGCUGGAGUUGUAACAUCUGUCCUGAUAUUGAUCAUGAAGUAUUGAUCAGAAUACUUAUGGUCAGCAGUCAUCCCUGAAGUUUUACAUUAAAAUCUUUACUUGUGUUGUGAACUUUGGUAAGAAGCAGAAAUGUUAGCGUUGCCAUGGAUACAUGAGUGUUAAAUUCUGUCCAUGUUUCCAUUUUGGGAAAUGCAGUCCAGUUCCAGAAUGUGGAAGAAUUUAGUCUCACAAUCACAGACAACAAAUAUUAUCUGAAAGUCAGGUUAUUGUUGUUUAUCAGCACAAUACAAAAAGAUUAAUGUUAGAAAUAUUCCAGUUAAGACUCAUAUCAUGAUUUAUGUAAAUUUACCUCAAUAAUAUGAAUGUUCAGGUUAAGAUUGUACAGUGAUAUUUACUAUUUAAGUUUAGCUGAUUAAAGUUUAUGACUGCACUAAAAUAUUAUUUAAAUUGACAUCAUUAUUAUAAUAUUUAGGGUCACACCGUACAGUAUUGAGAUUAAGAAGUCAAAUAUUCUAUAAAAUGUAAAUACACUGAACUCAUUUGGAUAUAUUUAAGUGAAACUCUACAAUAUUAUUUGACACAAAUCUAUCUAAAUCAAAAUUUUAAUAAUUUUCACACCAAACAUUUACUGGACUGAUUUAAAUAUUAAAAUCACUCCUUUCUAAUCCUCUGCUGUACGUUCAAACCUGAGGCCUUAAAUAGAAACACACAAGUAUCUGAUUGAAGGAACUUCUGUAGAGUCCUGGUUCCAGAACAUGAUGAUAGAAUUAUAGACAAACUUUAACAAAAUCUGCCUGAGAGUUUACAGUUUUUUAUGUUGGAUUUCUUCAGUAAUUUAAUGACAGUUAUCAGCAAGAAUCAAGUGUUCAUUUGAUGAACUUAAUUUCCUAAAACUUCCAGAAUUGGAGCUCAUAUCUUUGGCAGCUGUAAAGUUUCUGCUCCUUCAAAGUUCACAACACAAUGAAUGAAUUCCUAAAACACUCUCAAUGCUGGAGAGCGUUUGUGAUGCUGAAGCAGUGACCAGUUUUUCUGUUUCUUCUCUGGAGAUGCACAAUGAGGGACGUCUGCAGAGACUGAGAAAGAGUCUCACCACAUCCUUACAUGAGGAAAAAGACUUUAUUGAAGACUACAAUGAGAAAAACUAUCCAGACAGCAGACGGCUGCAUUCAAGUCUGUAGCUGCUGAAUUCAUGGAUGAAUCAUCUGGCACUAGAGAGGAAGACCAUCAAACAUCCACGUCAGCUGAUGGAGGUCCAAGAGUCUCACCAAACAAACAACCUACAGAGUGAAGACCUCCAAUCUGAUUGGACGGCCUCCUGUUUAGCCACGUGUGAACAAAUGCCUCUAAGCUGAUUUGUUUUCUACAAUCUAGUUUGAGUCCUAAUCUAUGCCUGUGUGUUUGCUUCUUUACACUGUUGUUAACAGUUUAGGCUGUUAGAUUGUUCCAGAUAAGACAAGUACAAGAUUCUUCAGAGCCGUUCUACCACAAGCCUGACAGGAAGAACUCCAACAGCUACUGAAUGUUCCUGUGGUUCCCUCAAGGCUACAGGAGGAGCCCUACGAGGACGAGCCGGUCCACCUGAUGGUGGCCAGUCGCUGUGGUUCAAAGCCAACACCGACUACGUGGACUUCUACUGGACCACACGGAGGCCUUCAAACCAGACCAACAAGUUCAGCGACUCCCCGACUCGUGGGUCUGAGGACGCCGCCGAGCCUCGGCCCAGCCGGCCUCCUGUCUGUGGAUGUUUGAGUGCUGAGAGGUUUGUGGAUCCAUGUGAACGUUCUGUGUUGAAACAGCAGCUUUGGACUCAGUAACGCCGGGAAAAACCAAGAGCUCCUUUAUUUGUGACUUCCACUAAUAAAACUGAUGAAAAUAAGUUUGCCAGGGUUCUGACUGAUAACACAUUAUUAAAUAAUGAAAAUAACAGUUUAAAUGUUCCUUUAAACAAUCCUUUUAGGUCUACAUUUCCUUUACACUGACUUCUUGGUAUAUGCACAAGUAUUUUGGGUGGAAUAUACCAUUAAACCUGAUGUUCAAGGGUUCUUCUGGGAAUAUACCAUUAAACCAACCUUUUAGGUAAAUAUUCCAAGAUGUUGGGUAGAAUAUACCAUCAGAUCAACCUUUUAGGUCUACAUUGGAAGAUUUUAGAGUAGAAUAUUACUCCAAACCAUCCUUUAGGUCUACAUUUAAGGUGGAAUACUCCUUUACGCCAAGAUUUUUUGGUGUACGUUGAAGUAUUUUAAGUGAAAUAUUCCUUUGAAUGAACUUUUUAAGUUUAUGUUCAAGGAUGUUGGGUGGAAUAUACCAUCAGACCAACCUCCAAGGUCUACAGUAGUGAAUUUUAGGUGGAAUAUACCAUUAAACUCACCUACAUUGGACGAUUUUAGGUGGAAUUUUCUUCCAAACCGUCUUUUAGUCUACAUUUAAGGAUGUUUAGGAUGGUAUAUUCUUCCAAACCAACUUCUCAGGUCUACAUUUCAGGUGGAAUAUUCCUCCAUACUAACUUUUUUGGUCUACAUUGAAGGAUUUUUUUCUGAACCACCCUUUCAGGUCUAUAUUUGGGGUUUUAGGUGGAAUAUUCCUUUUAACCAGCCCCUCAGGUCUCUUUGAGGAUUUUGGAUGGAAUACUAGGUUAAACCAACAUUUCAGGUGCAUGUCCAAGGAUUUUUGGUGGAAUGUUCCUUUAAGGUGGAUGUUUGAGUACCUUGUAGGUGGACUACUUCCUGAAACCAACCUUUUAGGUCAACAUUCAAAGAUUUAAGGUGGAAUAUUCUUUUAAACCAAACUAAAUUUCAUGUUUUGAUCAUUAUCAAUUGAGAAACCUCAAUCCAGACUCCCCAUAAUGACGUUUGAGAUUUAUGCUGCCCUUAUUUGUUUAGUCCAGACUAAAUGACAGAAAUCCACAACUGUAAUUUUAUUUCAGGACUCGGUUAUUAAAUGUCAAAACAAUCCAUGUGACUCUAAAAACUCAACAGCUUUACAAACUAAGAUUAAACUCUCCACAAGGAUCCAAAAUAAGUUGAACUUCUACGUGAGAGCUUGAAUUAUUCUUCAUCUACUUCCUGAAAAGUUUGGUCAAUAAAAAAGACAAAAACUAGUAUUUUCAGCUGAACUAAAGAUAGACUUUGUGAUUUUUCUGUUCACAUGUUGUGUUGUUGUAAACUUACUCUUUCAAAUAAAUAUCCUCCUAACCCCCUGGAA